CUAAAACUCCUCUGACCCAGUGGUUCAUCAGAACCUCUGGGGAUGUCCUGUGGAUUCUGUGGAUCCUGUGGGUUGCAGGGUGGGUCCUACCUAGACCAGGCUGAUCCUGGACCAUCCCACAGAUGCGCAAUCAGAUCUGGAUGUGGGGAGUGUGGAACCCAGAUGUUCAGAGGGAGAUGAUGCCACAUCUGGUCCAGCCGAUGGAAGGUCUUGAAGUUCUCUGACUGGCCUGGACUGAAGAUGGUCGUCUCACUGGAUUUAAGGUUCAGAUGCUCAGUAACAAACUCCACCAAUGUGCCAACAGGGAAGCUUUAGGUUUAUUAAAUGUUGCUAUGAAGGUUUCGCUGUUUUUCUUUGUGAAUGCAAUGUGCUCCAACUGAAACUUGAAUUAGAACUUAGAAGUAAAUCCUUCCAUCUGAAAGGAUUUAGUUGCAUUAAUAACCUCAUAACAUUCUAAUUUUUAUUCCAGUCUUGGUUGGAAAUAGAAUCUCUGUAUUGAUUUAGGUAAAAACUGAACUUCACAGCAUGUUGGAGCAAAACAACCAGAUGAAAACUGUGAUGGUGUUGGAUUGUCAGACCGUAAUGUUGCAGCUCAAAGCAGCUUUUCUAUCUCAGUUCAUUCUGACAUUCAGCUAUGAAUCAACACAGCAGAUGGUGAUCCAUGCUGUGGAAGUCUCACAUCUCCUGAUUUAAUGGAGCUGCUUUGCACUUUUUACACUGUUUAUUCACCAACACUUUAUUUAAUCAAAGUCCCAUCUAGUUUUCAUGAGGAAUGUGAUGUUUUAAUUUCUCUGUGAAUAACUGCAGUCUAAUGCAACAGCUGGAGUUGUAACAUCUGUCCUCAUAUUGAUCAUGAAGUAUUGAUCAGAAUACUUAUGGUCAGCAGUCAUCCCUGAAGUUUUACAUUAAAAUCUUUACUUGUGUUGUGAACUUUGGUAAGAAGCAGAAACGUUAGCGUUGCCAUGGAUACAUGAGUGUUAAAUUCUGUCCAUGUUUCAUUUUGGGAAAUGCAGUCCAGUUCCACAAUGUGGAGGAAUUUAGUCUCAAAAUCACAGACAAUAAAUAUUAUCUGAAAGUUGGGUUAUUGUUGUUUAUCAGCACAAUACAAAAAGAUUAAUAUUAGAAAUAUUCCAGUUAAGGCUCUAGAAUAUCAUGAUUUAUGUAAAUUUACCUCAAUAAUAUGAAUGUUCAGGUUAAGAUUGUACAGUGAUAUUAUGUAAGUUUAGCUGAUUAAAGUUUAUGACUCUGCACUAAAAUAUUAUUUUAAUUGACAUCAUUAUUAUAAUAUUUAGGGUCAGACCCUACAGUAUUGAGAUUAAGAAAUCAAAUAUUCUAUAAAAUGUAAAUACACUGAACUCAUUUGGAUGUAUUUAAAUGAGACUCUACAAUAUUAUUUGACACAAAUCUAAAUCAAAAUUUUAAUUAUUUUCAUGCCAAACAUUUACUGGACUGAUUUAAAUAUUAAAAUCACUCCUUUCUAAUCCUCUGCUGUAUGUUCAAACCUGAGGCCUUAAAUAGAAACACACAAGUAUCUGAUUGAAGGAACUUCUGCAGAGUCCUGGUUCCAGAACAUGAUGAUAGAAUUAUAGACAAACUUUAACAAAAGCUGCCUGAGAGUUUACAGGUUUUUAUGUUAGAUUUCUUCAGUAAUUUAAUGAGUUAUCAGCAAAAAUCAAGUGUUCAUUUGAUGAACUUCAUUUCCUAAAACAUCCAGAAUUGGAGCUCAUAUCUUUGGCAGCUGUAAAGUUUCUGCUCCUUCAAAGUUCACAACACAAUGAAUGAAUUCCUAAAACACUCUCAGUGCUGGAGAGCGUUUGUGAUGCUGAAG
Molecule: long non-coding RNA, 1828 nt
Organism: Amphiprion ocellaris (clown anemonefish)
Lineage: Eukaryota; Metazoa; Chordata; Actinopteri; Pomacentridae
Source: Ensembl